This 482-nucleotide ribosomal RNA is filed under the name uncultured bacterium. RNAcentral's name for it is "partial 16S ribosomal RNA". It matches the Rfam family "Bacterial small subunit ribosomal RNA", at positions 30 to 507 of the family's 1533-position model. The record is from RNAcentral.
AUUGAACGCUGGCGGCAUGCUUUACACAUGCAAGUCGAACGGUAACAGGCCGCAAGGUGCUGACGAGUGGCGAACGGGUGAGUAAUGCAUCGGAACGUGCCCAGUCGUGGGGGAUAACUACUCGAAAGAGUAGCUAAUACCGCAUACGAUCUAUGGAUGAAAGCGGGGGACCGUAAGGCCUCGCGCGAUUGGAGCGGCCGAUGUCAGAUUAGGUAGUUGGUGGGGUAAAGGCUCACCAAGCCAACGAUCUGUAGCUGGUCUGAGAGGACAACCAGCCACACUGGGACUGAGACACGGCCCAGACUCCUACGGGAGGCAGCAGUGGGGAAUUUUGGACAAUGGGCGCAAGCCUGAUCCAGCAAUGCCGCGUGCAGGAAGAAGGCCUUCGGGUUGUAAACUGCUUUUGUACGGAACGAAACGGCUCUGGUUAAUACCCGGGGCUAAUGACGGUACCGUAAGGAUAAGCACCGGCUAACUACGUG